AUGCUUCUCCUAAAGACUAAGCCAUGCAUGCCUCCGAAUAGAAGAGUAAUCUCUCUGAAUCUGCGAACGGCUCCGCAAACCAGUUGUAAACUAUAGCAAGCACGUCUUAGUAUUGGCCGCAAGGCUGGUACUGGGGCAAUAUGGAUAACCAUGGUAAUUCUGAGGCUAAUACGAGAUCAUAAACCUGAGCGAGCCGGGAAACUGGGGAGCUAGGAAUGUGUGACCAAAACCGCAAAACAAGCCAUGAUUGGGUGCACGUUAAGACCGCCGUAAAAAACGACUGAGUGUCCCGUGUGCUUCGGCAGCAAGGUUCUCAGGCGGGUGGCUCUUGCUGUGUGCUUCUGACCUAUCAACUAGAUGGCAGCGUAAGGGACAUGCUAUGGUAACAACGGGUACAGAGGAUAAGGGUUCGAUCCUGGAGAGUGGGCCUGAGAGAUUGCUCACACUUCUAAGGAAGGCAGCAGGCGCGCAACGUUCCCAUUGGGCAAUGCCCGAGGGCGUUAGGGGACAUAUGAAUGCCUGCCUUAUGGUGGGCAAUUCAAAUGG
Molecule: ribosomal RNA, 546 nt
Filed under: Badhamia capsulifera var. arborea
Lineage: Eukaryota; Evosea; Eumycetozoa; Physariida; Physaraceae
Description: SSU rRNA
Rfam family: Eukaryotic small subunit ribosomal RNA
Source: RNAcentral